This 384-nucleotide ribosomal RNA is filed under the name uncultured Acidobacteriota bacterium. RNAcentral's name for it is "uncultured Acidobacteria bacterium partial 16S ribosomal RNA". It matches the Rfam family "Bacterial small subunit ribosomal RNA", at positions 971 to 1353 of the family's 1533-position model. Lineage: Bacteria; Pseudomonadati; Acidobacteriota. The record is from RNAcentral.
UUACCCAGGCUUGAACAGCGAGUGACCAGCGACGAAAGUUGCCUUCCGCAAGGACACUCGUAGAGGUGCUGCAUGGCUGUCGUCAGCUCGUGUCGUGAGAUGAAAAAAAAAAGUCCCGCAACGAGCGCAACCCUUGUUUGCUGUUGCCAUCACGUUAUGGUGGGCACUCUGCAAAGACUGCCGGUGAUAAACCGGAGGAAGGUGGGGAUGACGUCAAGUCAGCAUGGCCUUUAUGUCUGGGGCUACACACGUGCUACAAUGGCCGGUACAAACCGUCGCAAAACCGCAAGGUGAAGCUAAUCGGAUAAAGCCGGUCUCAGUUCGGAUAGCCCUCUUCUUUUUUCGCCUGCUUGAAGUUGGAAUCGCUAGUAAUCGCGGAUCAGC